ACUCUAAUAGUUUAUAAAAACAUU
This 24-nucleotide transfer RNA is filed under the name Anseranas semipalmata (magpie goose). Its description in RNAcentral is "partial tRNA-Thr". RNAcentral also lists the same sequence under 7 other names. The record is from RNAcentral. Lineage: Eukaryota; Metazoa; Chordata; Aves; Anseriformes; Anseranatidae.